Molecule: ribosomal RNA, 329 nt
Filed under: uncultured eukaryote
Lineage: Eukaryota
Description: partial 18S ribosomal RNA
Rfam family: Eukaryotic small subunit ribosomal RNA
Source: RNAcentral
CCCUUAGAUGUUCUGGGCCGCACGCGCGCUACACUGAUGCAUUCAACGAGUCUAAAACCUGGUCUGAUAGGGCUGGGUAAUCUUUUGAAUGUGCAUCGUGAUUGGGAUAGAUGAUUGCAAUUUUUCAUCUUCAACGAGGAAUGCCUAGUAAACGCAAGUCAUCAGCUUGCAUUGAUUACGUCCCUGCCCUUUGUACACACCGCCCGUCGCUCCUACCGAUUGAAUGAUCCGAUGAAUAUCAUGGAUUGAGGAUGCAAGUAGGUUAGCCUAUCUUCAUCUUCGAGAAGUGAAGUAAAUCUUAUCAUUUAGAGGAAGGAGAAGUCGUAACA